This 253-nucleotide ribosomal RNA is filed under the name uncultured bacterium. RNAcentral describes it as "partial 16S ribosomal RNA". It matches the Rfam family "Bacterial small subunit ribosomal RNA", at positions 524 to 776 of the family's 1533-position model. The record is from RNAcentral.
UACGUAGGUGGCGAGCGUUGUCCGGACUUACUGGGCGUAAAGGGAGCGUAGGCGGACUUUUAAGUGAGAUGUGAAAUACUCGGGCUCAACUUGAGUGCUGCAUUUCAAACUGGAAGUCUAGAGUGCAGGAGAGGAGAAUGGAAUUCCUAGUGUAGCGGUGAAAUGCGUAGAGAUUAGGAAGAACACCAGUGGCGAAGGCGAUUCUCUGGACUGUAACUGACGCUGAGGCUCGAAAGCGUGGGGAGCAAACAGG